RNAcentral lists this non-coding RNA (29 nucleotides) under Mus musculus (house mouse). The record is from RNAcentral. Lineage: Eukaryota; Metazoa; Chordata; Mammalia; Rodentia; Muridae.
GGCCUUGCAAAGAGCCUACUGGCUGCCAG